AGAAGAGAACUUCAGGCCAAUUU
RNAcentral lists this non-coding RNA (23 nucleotides) under Rattus norvegicus (Norway rat). The record is from RNAcentral. Lineage: Eukaryota; Metazoa; Chordata; Mammalia; Rodentia; Muridae.